RNAcentral lists this non-coding RNA (29 nucleotides) under Homo sapiens (human). Lineage: Eukaryota; Metazoa; Chordata; Mammalia; Primates; Hominidae. The record is from RNAcentral.
UCCCAGUUCUAGACCUCAAACGGGCUGCC